AUGAAAAUAAAUUUAAAUAAUUUGAUGAUGACGCAUGCUCUAUACUUUUGUUUUCAUUUCGUGUCACGGGUUCGGUACGAUGUGGUUUCUAUUAACAAACUAACCAACGUGUUCUCUUAUUAAAAUGGAAUUAAUGGGUAGAAAGUUAACCCACUCAUAAUCUGAUCUAAUAUCCUACUAAUUAAGUAAAGUGAAAAACCUCUUGUUCUUAUGGCUGGGAAAAAGGAUGAAGUUUCGUCAAAGAAUAGCUUGGGUGAUGCUGUUUGGUUAUCUAGGUGUGACUGUUGUAACCAUUUAUUACUUGUUUGAACUUGCUGAUCAGUAUAACAUCCUUUCAUUAGAACAUACAAGAUUGUAUCACUCUAUAGAAAAUAAAAGAAUAGAUAAAAAGGAGACUUUAUUGAGCCAUUUACCAGACAUUCCUUAUGUAGUAUGGCUGUUAUUUGGGAUAUUAAUAUAUAUACAGAUUUUUUUUGUUCUUUAUGCUUGCACAAAACCCCAUCCAAAACAUUAUUUAAUAUCUUGUUUUUUAGUGAUUUGUAAAAAACAUGAUUAUGAUGCAACAAAAGAAGUUAAAAGCAACAAUGAGUUAAAAUCAGAGAAUUUGAUGUUAUCUAAUGGACAUAUAAAUCCAUUAAUAUUAUAAUGAUGAUUUUUGCAGUAUGCAUGAUUGUUAGGUAAAGAUAUUGAUUUAAAAACGGCACAACAGUUUAUGCUUUGUCUAUUGUAUAUAGUAUACAGCAUAAAUAAUGUAUUGAAUAUUUUCAUAGAAGCCAAAUAAAAGUAAAUGAAUGUUACAGUAA
Molecule: long non-coding RNA, 803 nt
Organism: Centruroides sculpturatus (bark scorpion)
Lineage: Eukaryota; Metazoa; Arthropoda; Arachnida; Scorpiones; Buthidae
Exons: 2
Source: RefSeq, a predicted model, not a curated record